GAAGGUCUUAGCUUAAUUAAUGGGUCUGAGGUGCAUUCAGGAGAUGUAGUGUGAUUACAGGUCUUC
This 66-nucleotide transfer RNA is filed under the name Cyrtodactylus amphipetraeus (Tak bent-toed gecko). RNAcentral describes it as "tRNA-Ala". The record is from RNAcentral. Lineage: Eukaryota; Metazoa; Chordata; Lepidosauria; Squamata; Gekkonidae.